AAGCUGUUAGUUUAAGAAAAACAUCUGAUUUCGGCUCAGAAGCUUAUGGUUAAAGUCCACAACUGCUUA
This 69-nucleotide transfer RNA is filed under the name Hemiramphus limbatus (Congaturi halfbeak). RNAcentral's name for it is "Hyporhamphus limbatus (Congaturi halfbeak) tRNA-Arg". It matches the Rfam family "tRNA". From Rfam's summary of the family: Transfer RNA (tRNA) molecules are approximately 80 nucleotides in length. Lineage: Eukaryota; Metazoa; Chordata; Actinopteri; Beloniformes; Hemiramphidae. The record is from RNAcentral.